AACGCACCUUGCGCCCUUUGGUAUUCCGAAGGGCAUGCCUGUUUGAGUGUCAUUAAAUUAUCAACCUCGCGUGCUUUUACUAGUGUCGCUUGGCUUGGAUGUGAGGGUUUUGCUGGCUUCCUUCAGUGGAUUGGUCUGCUCCCUUUAAAUGCAUUAGCUUGGACUUGUCCCGGCGACGUCAUAGCGUGAUAACUAUCUACGCUUUGAACCGUCUGUUGGUACCUAGUCGGUCUGGCUUCCAAUCGUCUUCGGACAAUACACCAUUCAUUUUGACCUCAAAUCAGGUAGGACUACCCGCUGAACUUAA
This 307-nucleotide ribosomal RNA is filed under the name uncultured fungus. Its description in RNAcentral is "eukaryotic LSU rRNA". The stretch from base 1 to 52 matches the Rfam family "5.8S ribosomal RNA", at positions 103 to 154 of the family's 154-position model. The record is from RNAcentral. Lineage: Eukaryota; Fungi.